RNAcentral lists this ribosomal RNA (445 nucleotides) under uncultured bacterium. RNAcentral describes it as "partial 16S ribosomal RNA". It matches the Rfam family "Bacterial small subunit ribosomal RNA", at positions 354 to 796 of the family's 1533-position model. The record is from RNAcentral.
GUGAGGAAUAUUGCGCAAUGGAGGCAACUCUGACGCAGCCAUGCCGCGUGCAGGAAGAAGGCGCUACGCGUUGUAAACUGCUUUUAACCGGGAAGAAACCCCAGGACGUGUCCUGGGUUGACGGUACCGGAGGAAUAAGCACCGGCUAACUUCGUGCCAGCAGCCGCGGUAAUACGAAGGGUGCAAGCGUUAUCCGGAUUCAUGGGGUUUAAGGGGUGCGUAGGCGGAGCGUUAAGUCAGUGGUGAAAUCCUGCAGCUUAACUGUAGACUUGCCAUUGAUACUGGCGCUCUUGAGUGCGCUUGAAGUGGGCGGAAUGUGCCGUGUAGCGGUGAAAUGCUUAGAUAUGGCACAGAACACCAAUUGCGAAGGCAGCUCACUAAGGCGAUACUGACGCUGAGGCACGAAAGCGUGGGGAUCGAACAGGAUUAGAAACCCGUGUAGUCC